This 440-nucleotide ribosomal RNA is filed under the name uncultured bacterium. RNAcentral describes it as "partial 16S ribosomal RNA". It matches the Rfam family "Bacterial small subunit ribosomal RNA", at positions 338 to 795 of the family's 1533-position model. The record is from RNAcentral.
CCUACGGGAGGCAGCAGUGGGGAAUAUUGCACAAUGGGGGAAACCCUGAUGCAGCGACGUCGCGUGAAGGAAGAAGUAUUUCGGUAUGUAAACUUCUAUCAGCAGGGAAGAAAAUGACGGUACCUGACUAAGAAGCCCCGGCUAACUACGUGCCAGCAGCCGAGGUAAUACGCAGGGGGCAAGCGUUAUCCGGAUUUACUGGGUGUAAAGGGAGCGUAGGCGGGUCAGCAAGUCAGAAGUGAAAGCCCGGGGCUCAACUCCGGGACUGCUUUUGAAACUGUUGGACUAGAGUGCAGGUGAGGUAAGUGGAAUUCCUGGUGUAGCGGUGAAAUGCGUAGAUAUUAGGAGGAACACCAGUGGCGAAGGCGGCUUACUGGACUGUAAAUGACGCUGAGGCUCGAAAGCGUGGGGAGCAAACAGGAUUAGAUACCCUAGUAGUC